Prosopis cineraria is the source of this 2149-nucleotide RNA transcript. It is a transcript of the gene named actin-related protein 4-like, with no coding region annotated. The transcript has 25 exons. Lineage: Eukaryota; Viridiplantae; Streptophyta; Magnoliopsida; Fabales; Fabaceae. The record is from RefSeq and is a predicted model, not a curated record.
ACCUAGACCAUCCUUUCCUCAACAAUCACUCCCAUCCAGCAGCUACCAUCCACCACCUCUGCUUGUCCUGUUACCACCGUUAAUUCUGCCGGAAGAACGGCCGGAAAGUCGUUUGUCGGUCUUUGUUAGCACGCGAGCUUCUUCUUGCUCGAAACUCAGUGUUUAUAAAACCCUACUAAAAAAUUUAGUGGGAAAAGUUAAGACCCUUUUAAAACCCUAAUUCUCUCUGUGGAACCACAUAAAAGCUUCAGUCAUGUAUGGAGGAGACGAAGUAUCUGCAAUUGUGAUUGACUUGGGCUCCCACACUUGCAAAGCCGGUUACGCCGGCGAAGAUGCUCCCAAGGCUGUGUUUCCCUCCGUUGUUGGAGCAAUUGAUCAAAUGGACAUUGAUGAGCCUGAUAAUACUGAAAAGAACUCUGCUUCUUCUGCGGAUUCAAAAAACAACACCAGAAAUCCUGAUUCUGACAAAACCAAAGGAAAGCGCAAAUUGUAUGUAGGAUCACAGUCCUUGGGAUACCGCAGAGACCAUAUGGAGGUGCUAUCACCGUUGAAAGAUGGAAUCGUUGCUGACUGGGAUAUUGUUGAUAGCAUUUGGGAUCAUGCUUUCAGGGAAUGCCUUUUGAUCGAUCCUAAAGAGCAUCCAAUGCUACUUGCAGAACCUUCUUCUAACACUCAACAACAGAGAGAAAGGACGGCAGAACUUAUGUUUGAAAAGUACAAAGUACCUGCUUUGUUUUUGGCCAAGAAUGCUGUUCUUACAUCUUUUGCAUCAGGUCGUGCCACGGCAUUAGUUGUUGAUGGUGGUGGAGGAUCAACUACUGUUGCACCUGUCCAUGAUGGUUAUGUUCUUCAAAAGGCAGUUGCAGCUUCUCCUAUAGGAGGAGAGUUUCUUACGGAUUGCUUGAUGAAAAGUUUGGAAAGUAAGGGUAUUGUGAUUAAACCCCGGUAUUCCUUUAAGAGAAAGGAAAUCCGGCCUGGAGAGUUUCAGACUGUAGAUGUUGAUUUUCCCAAUACAACUGAAAGCUACAAACUUUACUCCCAGAGGGUGAUUGCUAGUGAUAUCAAGGAAUGUGUUUGCCGAGCUCCUGAUACCCCAUAUGAUGAGAGUGCAUACUCAAACAUUCCGAUGACCCCAUAUGAACUUCCUGAUGGCCAGACAAUUGAAAUUGGAGCUGAUAGAUUCAAGAUUCCUGAUGUUCUUUUUAAUCCAUCUCUGGUCCAGACUAUUCCUGGCAUGGAGAGUUAUGCAGAGAUUGCUCCUUCAGUUCGAGGUCUGCCACAGAUGGUUAUAGAGAGUAUUAACAAGUGUGAUGUAGACAUCCGAAGGGAAUUAUUUAGUAGCAUACUGCUUGCUGGUGGCACAGCUUCAAUGCAACAGUUGAAGGAACGCCUUGAGAAAGACUUGUUAGAGGAAUCCCCUCAAGCUGCUAGAGUGAAAGUGCUGGCCAGUGGGAAUGCAACUGAAAGGAGGUUCAGCGUUUGGAUAGGUGGAAGCAUAUUGGCUUCUCUUGGCUCCUUCCAACAAAUGUGGUUCUCCAAGACUGAGUAUGAAGAGCAUGGAGCUUCUUAUAUCCAAAGAAAAUGCCCGUGAGUUGCUAUUGAUAUGUAUAGAGUAGAGUAGAUGAAGGAUUUGCUGUGUGCUCACGCGUCACUUGGCUUCAUAACUUAUCAUCGGUAAUAUGAUAAAUGGAAUGUGUGAACUGAUUCCAAGUUCAUUGAUCGAGUCAUUCACUUCAUUAUUAGGGAGAAUCACAUUCAAGGACUACUCAGCUUCCAUAUAGCAGAUGGAGAAAGGCCUUUUUUGGUUGACCUUUUGGGUACCCAAAACUAAGGUUGCCAAACCUAAAAAUCUGAGUGUACAGUGACAAAUCAUAUUGCACUUCAACUUUAGUUUGCAAAUUAAACACUUUCCUGGGGGAUCAAGUAGUUUGAUCUAGAAGGUCUUCAUUGCAGGGCCUUUGGCAUGUGAAACUAGAGACUUUAUCCACUCUUGAUUCUUCACCCAAAGCUCUUCAAGAAAGCUAUUCCAUACUUUUAACACGUUCAACUCAACUCGUCGUUGGGUGGCUGGCAAGCUGACGAGCUAGCUUGUCUUUUAUUUAUUUAUUUAUUUAUUUCCCCUCAUUUUUAAAUAUUUUUAUUUUCAAAU